AGCGGGGUGGGGCAGCCAGGAGUGCCCGUCGGGCUCAUAACCCGAAGGUCAAAGGUUCAAAUCCUUUCCCCGCUA
Molecule: transfer RNA, 75 nt
Filed under: archaeon
Lineage: Archaea
Also listed under: 2 other names
Description: tRNA-Met
Rfam family: tRNA
About the family: Transfer RNA (tRNA) molecules are approximately 80 nucleotides in length.
Source: RNAcentral